AUUGAACGCUGGCGGCAUGCUUUACACAUGCAAGUCGAACGGCAGCGCGGGCUUCGGCCCGGCGGCGAGUGGCGAACGGGUGAGUAAUGCAUCGGAACGUGCCCAGUAGUGGGGGAUAGCCCGGCGAAAGCCGGAUUAAUACCGCAUACGACCUGAGGGUGAAAGCGGGGGACCGAAAGGCCUCGCGCUAUUGGAGCGGCCGAUGUCGGAUUAGCUAGUUGGUGGGGUAAAGGCUUACCAAGGCGACGAUCCGUAGCUGGUCUGAGAGGACGACCAGCCACACUGGGACUGAGACACGGCCCAGACUCCUACGGGAGGCAGCAGUGGGGAAUUUUGGACAAUGGGGGCAACCCUGAUCCAGCCAUGCCGCGUGCGGGAAGAAGGCCUUCGGGUUGUAAACCGCUUUUGUUCGGGAAGAAAUACUCUGGGCUAAUACCCCGGGGGGAUGACGGUACCGGAAGAAUAAGCACCGGCUAACUACGUG
RNAcentral lists this ribosomal RNA (484 nucleotides) under uncultured bacterium. RNAcentral describes it as "partial 16S ribosomal RNA". It matches the Rfam family "Bacterial small subunit ribosomal RNA", at positions 29 to 507 of the family's 1533-position model. The record is from RNAcentral.